This 4418-nucleotide long non-coding RNA is filed under the name Trifolium pratense (red clover). RNAcentral's name for it is "long non-coding RNA (TPRA_LNC000719)". The record is from RNAcentral. Lineage: Eukaryota; Viridiplantae; Streptophyta; Magnoliopsida; Fabales; Fabaceae.
GCUCAUCUUUACAAAAGCUAUUGGAUUGAACAUGGUGCACACAAAUUCAUUGAAAUGGCAGAUGCAUCUGUUGCUAUCUCCUUCUUUGCAUUUGUAACCUUUGCCUUAGCUUCUCUUGUCUCUGGUUUCAUCCUAUUUAGGUUCACAAUCACAUAGUAAUAAUUACUCUAAAUAUAUGUCACAUAUAGAUAAUUGAGACAAUUAAAUUUCAAGUAUACAAUGGACAAAUGAUGAAGCUUUAUAUGUGUCAAGUAUACAAUGGACGAAUGAUGAAACUUUAUCAUUCCUGAAUUUUGCAGAUUUUCAUAUUUUAAGAAAUAAGGUUUGUUUCAGAGGAUCUUUUACUUUUCAAAAAUGAUAAAAUAUUACUCUAUCGGUACAUUUUAAGGGUUACUUUUGACCGUUCUACACAUGCCAAAACACAACUUUGAUCGUUAAUAUAUUUAAUUAACUAUUAUAAAUAGUUAUGAAAAUUUUAUAUCUUGAAAAUAUUCGUCGAGAAAAAUUGAACAAUAUAUUAUCUGCUAACCUUUAUUUUUAUAUAUUAAUAAAAAUUUAUGAUCAAAAUAUAUUAUGUUAAUAGAAUACAAUAGUCGAAAGUGACACUUAAAAAAGAGCGGAGGGAGUAUAACUUUUUUAUGCAGAAGCAUAAGUUUAAUUUAUAAAUUGAAAAUAUUAACAAACUUUUUCUCCAAAUGUAAUUGGAGAGCUAUGUUGAAAAUAUAUGCCGACCACAAAUUUGAUUUUCCUCAUCUCCCCUCAUUUCCCCUUUGUUUUAGGCGAUCGAGUUUUAUUGUGGAUCACAAUUAUAAGUGGUCUAUAGUAAACUAAUACUUAAAAAACAUUAUAAUUCUAACAACGAUUGAUAAUACUCGUAAGAAGUACGUAUUAGCGAUUAUGUAUUUUGAGGAAUAGCGACAUCAUUAGCUCUCAAUUCUACGGCAAUUUUGAUUGAUCGAGAAAGAAAUUCAAAAGGAACUUGAUUUUUCGUGCAAUAGUUAGAUAAUUGAGACAAUUAAAUUUCAUUAAAAUAGUUUCAUUAGCACCCAAGAUAUUAUAAUAUGUGAUUGUUAAUUAAAUGACGCGCAUUUGGUAGGAUGAAGGGGCGAGGAAGGACGGGAGAUCGAAUAUCUAACCAUUGUUAGGCUUGGCAGGAGGAAAUUGAUGUUGUCGUCUUCUAACUUCUAAGGAGUGGACCAAUUGAAGGGCGACAAUAAAUUCGAAUAGAUAUAGUUGGACAUAUGAGGAUUUACAGGACACAUUAGAGGAAUGUUGGACGGAUAGAAGGGGUGGUGCGAUGAGGAUUCAUGGAGCUUAAAGGGUUCAAGGGCAAGGCAAAGUCGGCAUAAGUGUUUGGACAGAUGAAAAUGGUCGAAAAUGUGUUUAUCUCUCUCAUAAAUUAACAAAUAAUAGAGGACAGUUGAGCCGAUGAAAACGGUUGAAAGUGACGCUGCUGGCUGGAGUGGCUGCUAUUAUGAAAAUAGUUGGUUAUGUACAUACUCCUAUAGAAAAAAAUUAAUAACGACAAAAAAAGUAUAUGAGUGUACAUAAUUUUUUCACGUAAUAAAAGAAAUGAAGAAUUCUUUGAUAUCCAUGAAAAAGAAGGUACCGAUUUUUGUAAAAUAAAAUUAAUUAAAAAUUAAAUUCACUUACAAAUAAAUAAAUGUAAAAAAAAAUGAUUUUUUUUUUUAAGAAAAAUGUAAAAAAAUGAUGUAGCGUGAAAUAAUUGAAUGUUAAGUAAUCCAAUAAAAGUCUAAGGUAAAUAUUUCAUCUUUUGUAUAUGGUAUUGGCUGUGGUACCUCUCAUUGUGGCCAAACGGUAUUUCUUUUCCAUCAAGAAGAAAAGGCAAAGGUCAUUUCUAGCUCUUAAGUAAAAUGGUAAAAAAAAAGAAGUACUAUGCACACCACUUAAUACACACCAAAAGUCAAGAGGUAAACAAAUUAAACUAAAUACACUUUCAUUCUCAAUGAUCAAUAAAAAAAUAAUCAUUAUUAACCGAAUAAUAAGAGUGUUUGGUAUGUACAAAGAAAAAAAAAGAAGAGUGUUUGGUACUAAUUGCAUAUGAUGGAAUUUAGCUCUUGCAACGUGGCGAACCAAAGUUUAAAUUCGAGCUAAGUAAAGUACACACAUAUAAUGUCCGACACCGUCUUAAAUAAGAUUAUCUCAAAUAGAGUGAACUUAUGGAAAACCAAAAAAAUAAAUAAAGUGUUUUUAUUUGUUUUGGUUUACAAUAUUGGUAAUGAGGAUUGAACCUAAGACCUUGGCAAUGAAGAUCGAACGCUAUGUUUGAAUUGGUGGAAUAUAAUGGAAUGGAGCAGAGCGGAAUAGAUGGGAGUGAAAUGAGAUGGAGUGGAAUGGAAUAAAUCUUUCAUUCCAUUGUUUGGAUAUUUUAAAAAUGAGAUGAAUAAAAUAUCCAAACAAUGUAACAUUAUUCUAUUCCAUCCCGCUCCGCUCCAUUUCAUUAUAUUCCAUCAAUCCAAACAGAACAUUAAAGUCUAGACCUCAUGCAUACUACUCAAAUCUCUCACUACUGGACCAAAUCUAGUGGCCUAGUUUCGGAAAAUAAAAUAAAUGAUCAGUUUUUUCUCUCAAUAAUUAAAAAAUUACAUAAUGUUUAGUUAUAAGUAAAAAAUAUAACAACAUAUUUUUUAUUUAUAUUUUUUUGCCAAAAAAAAAAAAAGUUUUUAGUUUUGGUAAAUUUUGUAUUUAAUAUAUAUUACCUAAUAGAUUUUGUGCUAGAAAGCAGCAUGCUUUUAAAGCAGUGUUCAUUUUACACAAAGUGGAAGCUAAAACUACAACUAGUUGUGCUUUUAGCUGCAAAGGCUUUGAUUUUUGAACAUAACAUUAUGAGUAUUAGUAGCAUUGAAAGCUUAACUCAAGAUACUAAAGAUGAAUCAAAAGAACAAACACAAGAAGAGAACAAUGAAGUACUCAAAGUCUUGGAGGAAAAGAUCACAAUGAUAGAUCCCAAGCACACAAGUGGGGAUAGUGAGGCAAUUUCCAAUUUCUUGAGGUCUAACAAAGAGGUGAAGUGGUACAUGGCUUUGUUGGGGAUUAGGAUUGUUGCUUUUGUGUUAUGUUUGAUUGCUUUCUCUAUAUUGGGUGCUAAUGAGCAAAAGAUUUUGGUAAACGAGGAAAUAACAAAUUGGUUCUCGAGUGGAUUCUCUGUUAAAACUCCAUACGAAUUCCGUUGGUAUGACUACGACGAAUUCAAGUAUGUUUCUCUUCUUACUCCAUUCCAUCAUAUAGUAGCAAGAUUUGUGUUUGUAGAAAUUGAAAUCUUCUCCCAUGCAAUAAUUCUAGCCAAAACUCGAAUUUUUUAGUGUACCAAAAUGAAUGUCAAUAUUUAUAGCAUAAGAGCUUAUAGCUUAUGUAUAAACUAUAAACUAUUUAUAUAACCAACGAUCGAAUAAAGUAAAACUAUUUUUAUAUAAGUUAUAAGUUGGUUUCAUAAGCUAUCUUAGCGAACUUAUAGAAAUAAGUUGAAAACAGUUCCUGGACAUGUCAUAAACUGUUUCCAGACACUCCUAAAUAGUCUCACAAGUCACGCAUGCUUAUAUAGUAAAUAUGUUCAAAUAAGUCGAUCCAAACACCUUAUUGGCAUUUCUUCUAUAUCAUGCAAUUGUUAUUGUUUGUAUUGACCUAUGUGAUGAUGGUGUGUGAUUAUGGUUUGAGUGUGAUUAUGCAGGUAUAGUUUUUCAGCAAAUGUGAUUGGAUUUGUGUAUUCUGGAUUGCAAAUUUGUUAUCUAGUGAAGUACUUGAUCACAAAAAAUCACACUAUAAACCCCAAGUUGCAUGGUUACUUCAAUGUUGCUAUUGAUCAGGUAAAGCUAGUGAUCUUUAAUAAAUUUCAAAUUAAUAUAAUAUUCUACAAACUAAUUUCACUAUUUGGUUUUAUCAAUUCAAAAUUUUGUGGUAUGACUUGCUCUUGUUAAUGAAAGAAUAUGUUUGAAAAUCAUUUUGUUAACAUUUUCCUUACAUAUAUUUUCUAGCUUCAUAUGGAUCAUAACAUAUCCUUAAGUGUUCUGAUUGACUUAUUUUGAACUGCAGACAUUGGCAUAUGUCCUAAUAUCAGCUUCAUCAUCAGCUGCAACUGCAGCUCAUCUUUACAAAAGCUAUUGGAUUGAACAUGAUGCACACAAAUUCAUUGAAAUGGCAGAUGCAUCUGUUUCUAUGUCCUUCUUUGCAUUUGUAACCUUUGCCUUAGCUUCUCUUGUCUCUGGUUUCAUCCUUUUCAGGUUCACCUAGUUUAUAAGUACUAAAUGUGUCAAGUGUACAAUGGAUGAAUGAUCAAACUUUAUCAUUUCUGAAUUUUGCAAAUUUUCAUAUUUUAAGAAAUAAGAUUUGUUUCAGAGGAUGUUUUACUUUUCAAACUUAAAAAUUCACCAAAACUAUUAAAUUGAAGGCUAGAAAUUGAU